GACGAACGCUGGCGGCGUGCCUAAUACAUGCAAGUAGAACGCUGAAGAGAGGAGCUUGCUCUUCUUGGAUGAGUUGCGAACGGGUGAGUAACGCGUAGGUAACCUGCCUGGUAGCGGGGGAUAACUAUUGGAAACGAUAGCUAAUACCGCAUAAAAUUGAUUAUUGCAUGAUAAUUAAUUGAAAGAUGCAAUUGCAUCACUACCAGAUGGACCUGCGUUGCAUUAGCUAGUUGGUGAGGUAACGGCUCACCAAGGCGACGAUACAUAGCCGACCUGAGAGGGUGAUCGGCCACACUGGGACUGAGACACGGCCCAGACUCCUACGGGAGGCAGCAGUAGGGAAUCUUCGGCAAUGGGGGGAACCCUGACCGAGCAACGCCGCGUGAGUGAAGAAGGUUUUCGGAUCGUAAAGCUCUGUUGUAAGAGAAGAGCGGGUGUGAGAGUGGAAAGUUCACACUGUGACGGAUCUAC
This 471-nucleotide ribosomal RNA is filed under the name Streptococcus sanguinis. RNAcentral's name for it is "bacterial SSU rRNA". It matches the Rfam family "Bacterial small subunit ribosomal RNA", at positions 28 to 483 of the family's 1533-position model. The record is from RNAcentral. Lineage: Bacteria; Bacillati; Bacillota; Bacilli; Lactobacillales; Streptococcaceae.